AGUAAAUGAUGAGAUUUCCAUUGGUCCGUGUUUCUGAACUCCAUGAUUUUUGUGGCUAUUCUGAUACU
Rattus norvegicus (Norway rat) is the source of this 68-nucleotide small nucleolar RNA. Ensembl annotates it as small nucleolar RNA SNORD18. The record is from Ensembl. Lineage: Eukaryota; Metazoa; Chordata; Mammalia; Rodentia; Muridae.